UGGCUCAGGAUGAACGCUAGCUACAGGCUUAACACAUGCAAGUCGAGGGGCAGCGAGAGAAAGCUUGCUUCUUGUCGGCGACCGGCGCACGGGUGAGUAACGCGUAUCCAACCUGCCCAUUACUCUGGGAUAGCCCUCUGAAAAGGGGAUUAAUACCGGAUGGUUUCCUUUGCGGACAUCUAACGAGGAAUAAAGAUUUAUCGGUAAUGGAUGGGGAUGCGUCUGAUUAGGUUGUUGGCGGGUAACGGCCCACCAAGCCCACGAUCAGUAGGGGUUCUGAGAGGAAGGUCCCCCACAUUGGAACUGAGACACGGUCCAAACUCCUACGGGAGGCAGCAGUGAGGAAUAUUGGUCAAUGGUCGGAAGACUGAACCAGCCAAAGUAGCGUGCAGGAUGACGGCCCUAUGGGUUGUAAACUGCUUUUAUAGGGGAACAAAGUGAGGUACGUGUACUUUUUUGCGUGUACCCUAUGAAUAAGGACCGGCUAAUUCCGUGCCAGCCGCCGC
This 506-nucleotide ribosomal RNA is filed under the name uncultured bacterium. RNAcentral's name for it is "bacterial SSU rRNA". It matches the Rfam family "Bacterial small subunit ribosomal RNA", at positions 20 to 518 of the family's 1533-position model. The record is from RNAcentral.